Molecule: ribosomal RNA, 523 nt
Filed under: uncultured bacterium
Lineage: Bacteria
Description: partial 16S ribosomal RNA
Rfam family: Bacterial small subunit ribosomal RNA
Source: RNAcentral
ACUCAAAUGAAUAGACGGGGACCCGCACAAGCGGUGGAACAUGUGGUUUAAUUCGAUGCUACGCGAAGAACCUCACCAGGAUUUGACAUACAGGAAGUAGUGAACUGAAAAGGGAACGACCCGUUAAGUCGGGAGCCUGUACAGGUGCUGCAUGGCUGUCGUCAGCUCGUGUCGUGAGAUGUUGGGUUAAGUCCCGCAACGAGCGCAACCAUUACCCCAUGUUGCUACCCCUUUUUGUUAUCGAAAGAUAACUGGAGGGCGCACUCUUGGGGGACUGCCUGGGAUAACCAGGAGGAAGGUGGAGAUGACGUCAAGUCAGUACGGCCUUUAUAUUCUGGGCUACACACGUGUUACAAUGGCUGAUACAGAGAGUUGCCAACCAGCAAUGGGGAGCUAAUCUCAAAAAAUCAGUCUCAGUUCGGAUAACAGUCUGCAAUUCGACUGUUUGAAGCCGGAAUCGCUAGUAAUGGGAGAUCAGCUCGCUCCCGUGAAUACGUUCCCGGGUCUUGUACACACCGCCCGU